AUGGCUGGUCUUUGUUUCCGUUUCUUCGAGGAAGGGCAUCUCAGGAAGGACUGCACCAACGACAUCGUUUGCUUCCGCUGUAGCCUUCCUGGCCAUGUCUCCAAGGACUACAAGCGACCUAGGAGUCCGUCCCCGGAGGAGGAUCUCAGGCGCCUCAUCGCGUCCAAGGUGGCCCAACGCGAGUUGGGGGGUGUCGGUGGCGCGCGCGGCCAUGACAACGGCUCUCCCCCGCUUUCGCCACCGCCGCCGCCUCCCGCUGUGCACGCCCCCCCAGCGGCUUGGCCAAGGGUCGUGGCCUCCCGCCUGCAAAGCUCGCCGGCGGAGGAGCUCGCGCCAAACGACCUUUGCAUCACUAGGCACACCCAGGGCUUGGGAGAUCUCGAGCGGAGACUCCAGUUGGCCAUGGUGGCCUACGUGGGCGGCGCCAACAGAGGCAUCUUGCCAGAGUUCGUGUUGGAGGCUCUAAGCGAAGUUCUAAAAAUUGGGCCAGAGUGGCUGUCGGUGCACCCCUACCGUCCUGAGGACUUCCUGGUGGUGUUCGGCAGGCCGGAGCACAAGAACCUCAUGGCGAGCUAG
RNAcentral lists this ribosomal RNA (576 nucleotides) under Triticum aestivum (bread wheat). RNAcentral describes it as "partial small subunit ribosomal RNA". The record is from RNAcentral. Lineage: Eukaryota; Viridiplantae; Streptophyta; Magnoliopsida; Poales; Poaceae.